GAUGAACGCUAGCGGCAGGCCUAAUACAUGCAAGUCGAGGGGCAGCGCGGUAGCAAUACUGGCGGCGACCGGCGCACGGGUGCGUAACACGUAUGCAACCUACCUUCAACUGGAGGAUAGCCCGGGGAAACUCGGAUUAAUACUCCAUAACACAGGGAUCCCGCAUGGGAAUAUUGUUAAAGCUACGGCGGUUGAAGAUGGGCAUGCGUUCGAUUAGCUAGUUGGUGUAGGUAACGGCUCACCAAGGCUACGAUCGAUAGGGGGUCUGAGAGGAUGAUCCCCCACACUGGUACUGAGAUACGGACCAGACUCCUACGGGAGGCAGCAGUAGGGAAUAUUGGUCAAUGGGCGCAAGCCUGAACCAGCCAUGCCGCGUGCAGGAAGAAGGCCCUCUGGGUUGUAAACUGCUUUUAUACAAGAGAAAAACCCUGGUACGUGUACCAGGUUGAUAGUAUUGUAAGAAUAAGCAUCGGCUAACUUCGUGCCAGCAGCCGCGGU
RNAcentral lists this ribosomal RNA (498 nucleotides) under uncultured bacterium. Its description in RNAcentral is "bacterial SSU rRNA". It matches the Rfam family "Bacterial small subunit ribosomal RNA", at positions 28 to 521 of the family's 1533-position model. The record is from RNAcentral.